UGAAAGUGCUGGGCAGCACCGUGGGUAAUGGGAAAGUGGCGAUUGUUGGUUGGAUUGGAUGGGCGUAAAUGGAGCGCAGGGGGAAGACCAAGGCAGGCGUGAAAGCCCCGGGCUUAACCUGGGAACUGCGUUUGGGACUGGUUUGGUAGAGAUCGGGAGAGGAGAGUGGAAUUCCCAGUGUAGAGGUGAAAUUCGUAGAUAUUGGGAAGAACACCGGUGGCGAAGGCGGCUCUCUGGACCGAGACUGACGCUGAGGCGCGAAAGCGUGGGGAGCAAACAGGAUUAGAUACCCGUGUAUUC
RNAcentral lists this ribosomal RNA (300 nucleotides) under uncultured Bacillus sp. Its description in RNAcentral is "bacterial SSU rRNA". The stretch from base 52 to 300 matches the Rfam family "Bacterial small subunit ribosomal RNA", at positions 547 to 795 of the family's 1533-position model. Lineage: Bacteria; Bacillati; Bacillota; Bacilli; Caryophanales; Bacillaceae. The record is from RNAcentral.